Molecule: non-coding RNA, 112 nt
Organism: Acanthosepion pharaonis
Lineage: Eukaryota; Metazoa; Mollusca; Cephalopoda; Sepiida; Sepiidae
Source: the annotation of a GenBank genome assembly
ACGGCCACGUAACUUUGAAACAUUGGUUCCGGUACGAUAACCGAAUUUAAGCGAUGUCAAGCCUGGUCAGUAUCUAGAUGGGUGACCGCUUGGGAAUACCAGGUGUUGUAAG